Molecule: ribosomal RNA, 253 nt
Filed under: uncultured bacterium
Lineage: Bacteria
Description: partial 16S ribosomal RNA
Rfam family: Bacterial small subunit ribosomal RNA
Source: RNAcentral
UACGGGGGGGGCAAGCGUUGUUCGGAAUUACUGGGCGUAAAGGGUUUGUAGGUGGCCAACUAAGUCAGACGUGAAAUCCCUCGGCUUAACCGGGGAACUGCGUCUGAUACUGGAUGGCUGGAGUGUGGGAGAGGGAUGCGGAAUUCCAGGUGUAGCGGUGAAAUGCGUAGAUAUCUGGAGGAACACCGGUGGCGAAGGCGGCAUCCUGGACCGACACUGACGCUGAGGAGCGAAAGCCAGGGGAGCAAACGGG